GGUUCGAUGGUGUAGUUGGUUAUCACUUCUGUCUAACAUCCUUGGGAUGGUUCCACAGGCGGUCCUCGGUUCGAGCCCGGGUCGAAUCA
This is a non-coding RNA of Mycena belliarum, 89 nucleotides long. The record is from the annotation of a GenBank genome assembly. NCBI's taxonomy places the organism in Eukaryota, Fungi, Basidiomycota, Agaricomycetes, Agaricales, Mycenaceae.